RNAcentral lists this ribosomal RNA (601 nucleotides) under uncultured bacterium. Its description in RNAcentral is "bacterial SSU rRNA". It matches the Rfam family "Bacterial small subunit ribosomal RNA", at positions 54 to 699 of the family's 1533-position model. The record is from RNAcentral.
CAUGCAAGUCGAACGCUCACCUUCGGGUGGGAGUGGCAGACGGGUGAGUAACACGUGGGAACGUACCCUUUGGUUCGGGACAACUCUGGGAGACUGGAGCUAAUACCGGAUACGCCCUUUUGGGGAAAGGUUUACUGCCGAAGGAUCGGCCCGCGUCUGAUUAGCUAGUUGGUGGGGUAACGGCCUACCAAGGCGACGAUCAGUAGCUGGUCUGAGAGGAUGAUCAGCCACACUGGGACUGAGACACGGCCCAGACUCCUACGGGAGGCAGCAGUGGGGAAUAUUGGACAAUGGGCGCAAGCCUGAUCCAGCCAUGCCGCGUGAGUGAUGAAGGCCUUAGGGUUGUAAAGCUCUUUUAUCCGGGACGAUAAUGACGGUACCGGAGGAAUAAGCCCUGGCUAACUUCGUGCCAGCAGCCGCGGUAAUACCAAGGGGGCUAGCGUUGCUCGGAAUCACUGGGCGUAAAGGGCGCGUAGGCGGCGUUUUAAGUCCGGGGUGAAAGCCUGUGGCUCAACCACAGAAUGGCCUUCGAUACUGGGACGCUUGAGUCUGGUAAAGGUUGGUGGAACUGCCGAUGUAAAGGUGAAAUUCCUAGAUAUUC